UAAUACGGAGGAUCCAAGCGUUGUCCGGAUUUAUUGGGUUUAAAGGGUGCGUAGGCGGAUCUUUAAGUCAGUGGUGAAAGCCUGCAGCUUAACUGUAGAACAGCCAUUGAAACUGAAGAUCUUGAAUGUGGUUAAAGUAGGCGGAAUGUAUCAUGUAGCGGUGAAAUGCUUAGAUAUGAUACAGAACACCGAUAGCGAAGGCAGCUUGCUGAACCAUUAUUGACGCUGAGGCACGAAAGCGUGGGGAGCGAACAGG
Molecule: ribosomal RNA, 256 nt
Filed under: uncultured bacterium
Lineage: Bacteria
Description: partial 16S ribosomal RNA
Rfam family: Bacterial small subunit ribosomal RNA
Source: RNAcentral